CCCUUAGAUGUUCUGGGCCGCACGCGCGCUACACUGUUCGACGCAGCGAGUCUUAACCUUGACCGAAAGGUUUGGGUAAUCUUCAGCAAAGUCGAACGUGAUGGGGAUCGAUCAUUGCAAUUAUUGAUCGUGAACGAGGAAUUCCUAGUAAGUGCAAGUCAUCAGCUUGCGCUGAUUACGUCCCUGCCCUUUGUACACACCGCCCGUCGCUACUACCGAUUGAAUGGUUUAGUGAGAUCUCUGGAUUGACGCUGGCUAGGGGGCGUCCCUUGGCCAGACUGUUGAGAAACUGCUCAAACUUGAUCAUUUAGAGGAAGUAAAAGUCGUAACA
RNAcentral lists this ribosomal RNA (331 nucleotides) under uncultured eukaryote. Its description in RNAcentral is "partial 18S ribosomal RNA". It matches the Rfam family "Eukaryotic small subunit ribosomal RNA", at positions 1470 to 1796 of the family's 1831-position model. The record is from RNAcentral.